GACGAACGCUGGCGGCGUGCUUAACACAUGCAAGUCGAACGGAAAGGCCCUGCUUUUGUGGGGUGCUCGAGUGGCGAACGGGUGAGUAACACGUGAGUAACCUGCCCUUGACUUUGGGAUAACUUCAGGAAACUGGGGCUAAUACCGGAUAGGAGCUCCUGCUGCAUGGUGGGGGUUGGAAAGUUUCGGCGGUUGGGGAUGGACUCGCGGCUUAUCAGCUUGUUGGUGGGGUAGUGGCUUACCAAGGCUUUGACGGGUAGCCGGCCUGAGAGGGUGACCGGCCACAUUGGGACUGAGAUACGGCCCAGACUCCUACGGGAGGCAGCAGUGGGGAAUAUUGCACAAUGGGCGGAAGCCUGAUGCAGCAACGCCGCGUGCGGGAUGACGGCCUUCGGGUUGUAAACCGCUUUCGCCUGUGACGAAGCGUAAGUGACGGUAAUGGGUAAAGAAGCACCGGCUAACUACGCG
RNAcentral lists this ribosomal RNA (468 nucleotides) under uncultured bacterium. RNAcentral describes it as "partial 16S ribosomal RNA". It matches the Rfam family "Bacterial small subunit ribosomal RNA", at positions 28 to 507 of the family's 1533-position model. The record is from RNAcentral.